This 450-nucleotide ribosomal RNA is filed under the name uncultured bacterium. Its description in RNAcentral is "partial 16S ribosomal RNA". It matches the Rfam family "Bacterial small subunit ribosomal RNA", at positions 354 to 796 of the family's 1533-position model. The record is from RNAcentral.
GUGGGGAAUAUUGGACAAUGGGCGAAAGCCUGAUCCAGCCAUGCCGCGUGUGUGAAGAAGGUCUUCGGAUUGUAAAGCACUUUAAGUUGGGAGGAAGGGCAGUAAGUUAAUACCUUGCUGUUUUGACGUUACCGACAGAAUAAGCACCGGCUAACUUCGUGCCAGCAGCCGCGGUAAUACGAAGGGUGCAAGCGUUAAUCGGAAUUACUGGGCGUAAAGCGCGCGUAGGUGGUUCAGCAAGUCGAAGGUGAAAUCCCCGGGCUCAACCUGGGAAGUGCCUCCAAAACUACUGGGCUAGAGUACGGUAGAGGGUAGUGGAAUUUCCUGUGUAGCGGUGAAAUGCGUAGAUAUAGGAAGGAACACCAGUGGCGAAGGCGACUACCUGGACUGAUACUGACACUGAGGUGCGAAAGCGUGGGGAGCAAACAGGAUUAGAUACCCGUGUAGUCC